RNAcentral lists this long non-coding RNA (521 nucleotides) under Lytechinus variegatus (green sea urchin). RNAcentral describes it as "uncharacterized LOC121405723". Lineage: Eukaryota; Metazoa; Echinodermata; Echinoidea; Temnopleuroida; Toxopneustidae. The record is from RNAcentral.
UGACUUUGAAAUAGAAGUAACUUCUUCAUGUACUCCUGGUGAAGAAGUAAGCUUGAACCAAGAAUGUACGUUCUCUUGUCCGCCUGGUUACGAUCUGACUGGGCCAUCUUUUGUCACAUGCGAAAGCUCUGAACAGUUCUCGGAUCUAUUUCCCGAAUGUCAGAUCGUGACGUGCACUGUAACUUUAUUUGGAGACAAAGUAAGUUCAUCGUGUACACCUGCCACUCAAGUAGACUACCAAGAAGAAUGUACCUUUUCUUGUCCAGCUGGUUAUGAGCUGAUCGGACCGUCAUCCGUUACCUGCACGAGCUUUGGAGGUUUCUCAGACGUAUUUCCCGAAUGUGAGGCAACUUGCACCGUACCUGACUUUGAAAUAGAAGUAACUUCUUCAUGUACUCCUGGUGAAGAAGUAAGCUUGAACCAAGAAUGUACGUUCUCUUGUCCGCCUGGUUACGAUCUGACUGGGCAAUCUUUUGUCACUUGCGAAAGCUCUGAACAGUUCUCGGAUCUAUUUCCCCAAU